Long non-coding RNA from Helianthus annuus (common sunflower), 1744 nucleotides. RefSeq lists it as uncharacterized. The record is from RefSeq and is a predicted model, not a curated record. Lineage: Eukaryota; Viridiplantae; Streptophyta; Magnoliopsida; Asterales; Asteraceae. The transcript has 4 exons.
GGAUACCAAUCCCAAACAUCUCAUCCACCGUCCAUUCAAAUCACAAUCAGACGUCUAUCAUUCUCCCUUCACACAAGUUUCUAAUUUUCAAUUUUUUCACACAUGGGGAAAGAAACUGUACUCUUAGUUCUCUCUCUCUCAUUGUUCUUCGUCUUUCUCUCUCUCUCACAAUGAAUUCUUUCAUCUUCCAGUUCAUCGAUUCUGAUCACCACCAUCCCCUAAAUAUAUAUUCCCACCGGUGUCUUUUUAGAUUCCGACCAGACCUAGGGUGGUUUUGUUAGAUUUCAUCUCUCCACAGAGAACACCGACGAUUUUUAAACUUGAUUUAUAUGUUCCAGGAUACAGAGAUCAGUGGCGAUGGUUACAAAAGCAUGGUAGGAGAUCUGGGGUGCGGUAUCGAUGUCUAGGGUUGGUGAAUCGAAUUUUCCAACGAAGAUGGUUAGGGUUCAGGCGAGUUCCGGCCACACAGGUAAGUCCGCAGAAAUUGUCAUAUUUGCAUGCCUCGGUUUUGUUUAGAUUGGUGGCAUAUGGCCCCUUUCUGGCUAGAUAUGGUGUUAACACUGGUGUCUAUUCGGAUUUCGGCUAUACCUUGGGUUCCGGCAACACUCAAGGAGUUCCGGUGAGGUUCCGAUAUACCCGUUCUUUGUUGUGUUGUCAGCUGAAUCUGUUUACUUACAAAUAUGGUUACAUACAUCUUCACGUAAUUAAUCUGUUGAUGGACUAAUUUGAGUCAAUGGUCCAAUUUUUUUCCAUUCCUUUUCUUUGUUUGUGUUCUUUGCAGAAACCCCAAUUUUUGGAAUUCGUAGAUGCCCUAAUCAGUUAGCUUUACCAAGUUAUUUUACCGGUGGUUGAAACUAAACUAGAGGGGUUCAACUAAAGAGAGUUGAUUGGCUGUUAACGCCCUUGGUAGGUUGUCGUUUGGAUUUCUCUUUCUCCAGGAUUACUAGCUAUCACCAUUAGAUGAGACCGAUAGUUUGGUUGUUAUCACUAUUAUAACGUUUGUGUUGUUUGCUUAUUAUUAAUUGCAUAUUUUGUUAGCAGAUUUACUGAAAUGGACCUGCACGUAUCAAGGUGGUUUGACUUUUCAAUUUUGUCACUUAUGUCUGCCAUGUUAGUUUAAUCGCUGGUUCAAGGGCUGAGGUGUUGAAGCCAGACAAAAGUCGGCAAUACCCUAAAAGAUGGUUUAGGUGGUUAUGAAGCUGAAGAAGCAACUGGAUGAAUUAGUCAUGAACGUAAAAGGGUAAACUAGGCAUCUGAGUAACUGAGUUUUAAUUUGUCUACAUCAACAUUUUCAUUUUCAUUUUGUGUGUCUGGUUAGAGGUUUCUACAUCAACUGCAGGAUAACUUCUUUGCUAGCUUUGCGCUCGGUUGGUUGAUCACAAACGGAGCUGGUCUAGCCUCGUACCCGAUUGACACAGUGCGAAGAAGAAUGAUGAUGACAUCUGGGGAAGCUGUCAAGUACAAGAACACAUUUGACGUGUUCAACCAAAUCGUGAAAAAGGAGGGUGUCAAAUCAUUAUUCAAGGGUGGAGGUGCUAACAUCCUCCGAGCUAUGGCUGGUGCAGGUGUGCUUGCCGGUUGACAAUGGUCAAGAUCCAACUCUUGAUUCUCUUGUUAAGUUGACAAGCCUUUUGAUUAUUUAUGAUUUUACUGCCUUGUAGUUUACAUUUGUUUCAUGUAUUAAUCAAAUUGGCACUUUGUUUCAGGUAUUAAUCAAUGGUGAUGUUUGUGACAUUACGUAUGA